UUUCAUUUUUUCUGUUUUGUUUCAGAGAGGAGUAUCUCUUUGUUACAGCACAUUGAAGUGUGUGGUUGAAAACGGUGGCGUCCACAAACCAAAAAAAAAGAAAAAGAAACCAAUAAACCUCAAUGUCAAGUUAGCUUCAUGCCUGACUGACAGCAUUGAUGAGGAAUUCAAGAAGACCUUUCCGUAAGAAAUGAAUUAAUUAGGGUAUAAAAGACUAUGUAGAAUUCUGUAGAGAUUCUUCAAUAUACAGUUAAUAUAAACUAUGUGGGAAAAUACACAUGUACAAAUUUCCCUGCUGAAACCCAAACUUGUCACUGACAAUUUGUGAAAUUUGUCAACAUGUUUCAGGAAUGAGAGAAAAUGUGGAGCAUUCAAUGGGGUCAUCAAUACAUUUUCCCUUGACACUGAGGGGCUGAUUCAGAAAUACAAAGAUGUUGAACUGCAACUGACAUUUCUCAAGACAGAGGAAGAAAAAGUAAAGAUGAGACUCAACGAAAGCAUCCGGGAGUGCAAGAAACUAGUCUACAAUAGUCUGACAAAAAUAAUCGAGGAAAACAUGAAGGACUGCUAUCAAAGUAAGAUUAGAAAUCAUGACAUAUACAACCUAGUAGUAUAAAAAUACACAUAAACAUCAUCAUAAUAGUGCAGAAAAUGUAGUUGAGAACAUAUUUCUGUUUUAUUGCAGAAGCAGCAGGAUUUAGAGGAAAGGACUCACUGAAAAAUAUGAGGGACACUAUCAAGCAGCAUGUACAUUCUUCAAAGAACACCAUGUUCAAGCAGGCUAAAGAUGUCAUGUUGGGCCGGCUGAGAAAGUUGAAGGGUUACAUCUUGAAAGAACUGAAGGAAACGAUGCGGAAAUCAAUCAUGAUGUCACUCAAGACAGAUGAUUACUCACUCCCAGAUUUCACAGUGGAACUUGCAGAAGUGAAAAAACAUUACAAUGACUUGAUGAAAAAGCCAAGAAGAAGAAACACCACAGAACUUGUGUCAACAUGUUCACAUGAUGCACUGAUAAAAUUUCACAGUGGAACCUGCAAAAGUGAAAAAAAAACCACAACAAUGACUUGAAGAAAAGCCAAGAAGAGAAAACAUCACAAAUUUGGUAAAACUUUUGUUAAAAUUUUCACAUGAUGCGCUGAUUCUGACCUGUUUUAAAUAAAGCAAACAAUGUAUUUACUUACAGUAAUAGCUGAUUACUGUUCAAUGUCACAACCUUGCUUGUUUCUCUGGUUGAUGUCUCAGGUUUGGCCUGACUACUAACCAAAUGUCCCUGCAGAUCUGAUUUGAGAUGUGAGGCCUGUGAGAUUUGGUCUCAACCAUUUUUAACAAAAUGUCAUCCCUGUUCACUCUGAGAGUUGCUAUGGUAUGUUUGUGAGUUAACUUAAAUUACAGUCAGUUUUCCUGAAUAGGACGUUCUCAUUUUUUAUUAAUUAAAGAGCAGAGGCAGACAGAACAUGUGUAUGCAUCACAGCAAAGUUCCUCAGUCAGAUAUAAACCAGGCACAUUGUGGUUUCAUUGUACAGUUCUUCCAGAAUUUUUUUCUGGAAGUUUUUCUGGAGUUUUUUUGUGAUUGUUGCAGGCAAAAAUCCUUGAUUAUGCGGCAUGUUUUCUUAAAAAAUGCGAUGGAAUAUGUGGGAUAAUUAUGCAAUUUUAUGCAAUGAAAUUGUGGGAACUUGCAAAACUGCGGUUUGAUGAAAAAGAGAAAAAAAAUUGAUUCCCCCAACACCAUGUUCUCACUAGGCUACUAACAUAAUGAAAAGAGUCAUUACUUAUUACUUCCUAUGAUAAGCAAGCAUACUACAUCACAGAAAGUGCUGAGAAUAUUUAAGUUCUCAUCUUGUUUUAUUUCAGACCUUAAUAAACACGUGGCUCAAACUUACAAAACAUUGAUGAGUCAGACAAGUUCUGUAGCUUUACAAAAGGAAUAUGCUACAACGUCUGUAAAAAUGAAUAAAUAAAAUAUAAGAAAAAUAAAAUGUGUGCUUCCUGUUUUACAGAGGUAGCGAUACAAAACAGACAUCUUCUGUUAAAAUAAGUGCUUCCAAUGCACAAAGUGCAAUCUCUUACUGUAACGUAAAUUUACAUACUACUAAUAUACUUACAACUGUAAGGUUUUUGGAACUAGUAUGAUUUUUUGUUGGCAAAUGAGACUGAUUUGCGGGCUUCAUCAUGGCUUCAUCGCGGGGUUUGCAGCUUUUCGAUGAUGUUCACGUCGCGUAAUUACGUCACUUCAUAACGUUCCCAUGGCAACAGGGGAAAAUGGCUGCUCCUGUGUGAAGUAAACGCAACGUUUUUCAACUUUGUUUUCUGGAGGGACUGAUUAUACUGGUCGUAACCACCACACCAUUAUGAUGCAGAGACUAUUCGUUUUUAAUUUUGUCUCCUUGAGUAUAUUUUAUGUUAUUCAUUCAUGUUUUUAUUUUUUGAGUUUAGUAGUUAAGUUUUAGUUGAGUUUAAUGGUUGACCGGGAUCAAUGCCCUGCAAUGCGAUAUUUUAGUUAUGGGUGUUUUCAUUAAGUCUUGACCCUUGAUUACAAGCUAUAUGUCAGAAAUGAAUAGAUCUUGAAUUACCCUUUUGUCUUAAUGCUAGAUAAUUGUUUCUGUGUGUUCAUAUAUGAGAAAUAGAGAGAACUAGAUGAUAGUGAUAAACAAGUUGGUUGUUUUAUUUCGGAUUUUAAAUGCAUAAAUGUACAGACAAGUGACAAAGGGAAACCUGAAUGAAUGAGUGGAGAUACAUGACAAAUACAGAUGCUUUCAUACAGGACUCAAGGGGUCAUUUGAUGUUUUUAUGAGAAUGAAAAUGAUGUGAAUCAAUUGAACACCUGUGGGAGACGGUUUGAGACAUCCUUUAAAGUGUCACCAAUCGUUUUUUGAUUUUGUAUACUGUUCAAUAAAGUUCUUCUGAGUGAAAAUGCCACUGGUUUGGCUUCUUUGACGUCAGUGUUGUCAUUAAAGCACCCAAAAGCUGCUCAAGGUUCUCCGACAUCUCUUUUGCAAUGAUUUUCAGCUGUUUUUCUGACGAUAACUGCAGGUAUUUGUUCAGACUUGCAAUGGAACAUGCUGACACAUAGAUGCCCAUAAAUAGGGAUGGGCCUCAAUUCUGCUUGUUCAGCCUAGUACCUUUAUAAAUCAGAGAUAAAGAAAACUGUGAUUUCUAAGAGGAAGAACCAUAUAUCAGUGACAUGAUAUCAGGCAACCACUUUGACAGUAAAACACUCUGUGUUUAACAGGUGGUGGAUCUCAUAUUCUUUAAGGUUAAUUCCUCUUCAGGAUAAAUAGUUUGCGUCUUUUUGCAUGGC
This 3298-nucleotide long non-coding RNA is filed under the name Sparus aurata (gilthead seabream). RNAcentral's name for it is "lncRNA (ENSSAUG00010023168.1)". The record is from RNAcentral. Lineage: Eukaryota; Metazoa; Chordata; Actinopteri; Spariformes; Sparidae.